This 163-nucleotide ribosomal RNA is filed under the name Ceratocystis fimbriata. RNAcentral describes it as "5.8S ribosomal RNA". The stretch from base 1 to 93 matches the Rfam family "5.8S ribosomal RNA", at positions 62 to 154 of the family's 154-position model. Rfam says of the family: 5.8S ribosomal RNA (5.8S rRNA) is a component of the large subunit of the eukaryotic ribosome. It is transcribed by RNA polymerase I as part of the 45S precursor that also contains 18S and 28S rRNA. Functionally, it is thought that 5.8S rRNA may be involved in ribosome translocation. The record is from RNAcentral. Lineage: Eukaryota; Fungi; Ascomycota; Sordariomycetes; Microascales; Ceratocystidaceae.
GUAAUGUGAAUUGCAGAAUUCAGUGAAUCAUCGAAUCUUUGAACGCACAUUGCGCCUGGCAGUAUUCUGCCAGGCAUGCCUGUCCGAGCGUCAUUUCACCACUCAAGACUCUUUUGUUCUUGGGCGUUGGGAGGUCCUGUUCUCCCCUGAACAGGCCGCCGAA